RNAcentral lists this ribosomal RNA (187 nucleotides) under uncultured Staphylococcus sp. RNAcentral's name for it is "partial 16S ribosomal RNA". It matches the Rfam family "Bacterial small subunit ribosomal RNA", at positions 153 to 334 of the family's 1533-position model. The record is from RNAcentral. Lineage: Bacteria; Bacillati; Bacillota; Bacilli; Caryophanales; Staphylococcaceae.
GAAACCGGAGCUAAUACCGGAUAAUAUUUUGAACCGCAUGGUUCAAAAGUGAAAGACGGUCUUGCUGUCACUUAUAGAUGGAUCCGCGCUGCAUUAGCUAGUUGGUAAGGUAACGGCUUACCAAGGCAACGACGCAUAGCCGACCUGAGAGGGUGAUCGGCCACACUGGAACUGAGACACGGUCCAG